GACGAACGCUGGCGGCGUGCCUAAUACAUGCAAGUAGAACGCUGAAGAGAGGAGCUUGCUCUUUUGGAUGAGUUGCGAACGGGUGAGUAACGCGUAGGUAACCUGCCUGGUAGCGGGGGAUAACUAUUGGAAACGAUAGCUAAUACCGCAUAAAAUUGAUUAUUGCAUGAUAAUUAAUUGAAAGAUGCAAUUGCAUCACUACCAGAUGGACCUGCGUUGUAUUAGCUAGUUGGUGAGGUAACGGCUCACCAAGGCGACGAUACAUAGCCGACCUGAGAGGGUGAUCGGCCACACUGGGACUGAGACACGGCCCAGACUCCUACGGGAGGCAGCAGUAGGGAAUCUUCGGCAAUGGGGGGAACCCUGACCGAGCAACGCCGCGUGAGUGAAGAAGGAUUUCGGUUCG
This 406-nucleotide ribosomal RNA is filed under the name Streptococcus sanguinis. Its description in RNAcentral is "bacterial SSU rRNA". It matches the Rfam family "Bacterial small subunit ribosomal RNA", at positions 28 to 425 of the family's 1533-position model. The record is from RNAcentral. Lineage: Bacteria; Bacillati; Bacillota; Bacilli; Lactobacillales; Streptococcaceae.